Molecule: ribosomal RNA, 492 nt
Filed under: uncultured bacterium
Lineage: Bacteria
Description: partial 16S ribosomal RNA
Rfam family: Bacterial small subunit ribosomal RNA
Source: RNAcentral
AGUGAACGCUGGCGGUAGGCCUAACACAUGCGAGUCGAACGGCAGCACAGUAAGAGCUUGCUCUUACGGGUGGCGAGUGGCGGACGGGUGAGGAAUACAUCGGAAUCUACUUUUUCGUGGGGGAUAACGUAGGGAAACUUACGCUAAUACCGCAUACGACCUACGGGUGAAAGCAGGGGAUCUUCGGACCUUGCGCGAUUGAAUGAGCCGAUGUCGGAUUAGCUAGUUGGCGGGGUAAAGGCCCACCAAGGCGACGAUCCGUAGCUGGUCUGAGAGGUUGAUCAGCCACACUGGAACUUAGACACGGUCCAGACUCCUACGGGAGGCAGCAGUGGGGAAUAUUGGACAAUGGGCGCAAGCCUGAUCCAGCCAUACCGCGUGGGUGAAGAAGGCCUUCGGGUUGUAAAGCCCUUUUGUUGGGAAAGAAAAGCAGCAGGUUAAUACCCCGCUGUUCUGACGGUACCCAAAGAAUAAGCACCGGCUAACUUCGUG